CCUACGGGUGGCUGCAGUGAGGAAUAUUGGUCAAUGGACGAGAGUCUGAACCAGCCAAGUAGCGUGAAUGAUGACUGCCCUAUGGGUUGUAAACUUCUUUUAUGUGGGAAUAAAAUGUUCCACGUGUGGGAUUUUGUAUGUACCAUAUGAAUAAGGAUCGGCUAACUCCGUGCCAGCAGCCGCGGUACUACGGAGGAUCCGAGCGUUAUCCGGAUUUAUUGGGUUUAAAGGGAGCGUAGGUGGAUUGUUAAGUCAGUUGUGAAAGUUUGCGGCUCAACCGUAAAAUUGCAGUUGAAACUGGCAGGCUUGAGUACAGUAGAGGUGGGCAGAAUUCGUGGUGUAGCGGUGAAAUGCUUAGAUAUCACGAAGAACUCCGAUUGCGAAGGCAGCUCACUGGACUGAAACUGACACUGAGGUGCGAAAGUGUGGGUAGCAAACAGGAUUAGAUACCCGGGUAGUC
RNAcentral lists this ribosomal RNA (460 nucleotides) under uncultured bacterium. Its description in RNAcentral is "partial 16S ribosomal RNA". It matches the Rfam family "Bacterial small subunit ribosomal RNA", at positions 338 to 795 of the family's 1533-position model. The record is from RNAcentral.